Molecule: long non-coding RNA, 1114 nt
Organism: Cannabis sativa
Lineage: Eukaryota; Viridiplantae; Streptophyta; Magnoliopsida; Rosales; Cannabaceae
Exons: 2
Source: RefSeq, a predicted model, not a curated record
AAAUUUGCUGCAGUUCCCAACAGCCCCCUACACCCAAACACCUAACGUUCAACUACUAGGGGUAGAUUCGUCAUUUUUGUUUGAUGCGGAUCCAAAAGAGCAUAUUCUCUUUUCAAAAUCUGAUACCCCUUUUUCUCUUUCUUUAGUCAAAACCCUACUGCCAUUAAUCAAGACCAUAUAUAAUCUUUCUUUUCUUUUUCCUUAGAAAAACCUAGCAUUAAAAAUCAUCUCUUCAAAGCACACACAACCAGCCGGCCCUAUUCUUCUCCUCUCCUUCUUCUAUUUUCUUUGAACAGCAAGAACACAACCUAGCCAAGCCUCUUCUUCUUCCUUCUUCUCUCUUGCUGAAAAACGCAGCAAGCUUCUCCCUUGCUGAAAAACGCAGCAAGCUUCUCCCUUGCUGAAAAACGCAGCAAGCUUUCGUUCUCCUUCCUUCCUUCUUCAAGCUACAGCAGUAGCUUCAAUGGCCGAAUCCUUGUACCCCCUUCAAAACCUGCAACACAAAGAGAAACCCGAAACACUAGUAACAACAAAGAUCUAAAAUGAUCUUUGUUGGUUAUAGAAAAGAAAACCCGAAAAACACUACAGAAAAAUAAAGGAGAACACAACAAAGUUUGAUCUCGGAGUUCCCCUUGAAAUCAAGAGUACAUCUCCGUCAAGCUUCCCUCAAAGACGCUUGAUUCUUCACUAUGAUGUCAAAACCGGUUACAAGUUCAUGGAGAUUCCAUGCUACAAAACACAGCAGGUGGGUUACACAAAGAAACCAAAGGUUGCUGCCUUUUUUUUUCUGCUUGGCCGAAAUGGUGUGUUGCUCAAAGUGGAAGGUUGAACCACUUAUUUAUAAUGUUUUUGUUGUUGCUGGCUGUGUUGUUUGAGCUGAGAAAUAACUAUAUUCUGUUGUGAUAUUUUCCUUGUAAAGCUGAAAGUUUGUUAGAGUCUUGAGAUAUUUUGUUUGCUUCUUUAUAUUGUAAAGAGAAAUAAAGAUCUAGGCCUAUGACAACAGAACCGACAACUCUAUGAGUUAUAAUGGUCUGUUGAGGCUUUGUAAAUAGAUCUAAUUUAUUUUCCUUGUAACUUUAUUUAUGGGACAAUAGUAUGGGAAUUUAUCCAACAC